GACGCACGGGCAGACACGCAUUUGCUGCAGCUUCUGGGUGUGCUUCUUGAGAGUCACCUGCAGUGGUGCUGCAACCCGAGUGAGUGGGUGGGAGCCUCCCGGAGGCCCUGGAGAUUAGAGUGGCCUCAGAGCAAGCCUUUGAGCUCCACGCACUUGGGUGCUGCAGACUGAAGUGCUGCGGAAGGCUCCCUUACCUUUGCUCCCCCAGCCUCCGAAUGGUUGUAUAAACCUCUAUUUCCCUGUAUCCAAAACUGUGAAGAAGAGGCGACAACGACCCCAGGACAGAUCAAAGCCCAUGCCGCUGUAUCCCACGUGCCCAGCGCCUACCUCCCGCCGCUGUUGCCGCCACCACCGUGCCCAGGAGAAAGACUGAAGGUGAUGCUAAAGGAGAUAGAACCAACAUGAAGGACGAACCACAGAGAGGAUCCACGAGAUUUUCUGCUAAGCCUGCUCCCCGAAAGCCAGAGCCUAAACCUAAAAAGGCCCCUGAAAAGAAGGCAGAGAAGGUACCCAAAAAGGAAAAGGGAAAAGCUGAGGCUGGCAAGGAGGGGAAUAACCCUGCAGAAAAUGGAGAUUCCCAAACAGAUCAGACACAGAAAGCUGAAGGUGCUGCAGAUGCCAAGUGAAGCGUGUGCAUUUUUGAUAACUGUGUACUUCUGGUGACUGUAUAGUCUGAAAUGCUAUUUUUUAUCAAGUUUUAUAAAAAUGUAGACUUUGUUUUACCUUUUUUUUAAGCUAUGUUGUUAGCACACAGAACACUUCAUUGUGUUUUUUGGGGAAGGCCAUAUGUCACUAACACAAUGUCUCCGAAGCUGGAUUGACGUGUGGAAAACCCCUUUCCCUUCUAGUUUUGGGAGACUUGCUCUUGGCUCCCAGGAGGGGUGAUUCCCUGACUUUGACACCCAAGGCACCUUGGCACAAAAGCCUUGUGGGACGGAAAAACAAAUUCGUUUUUAUGUCCUCUUCUCCUUUUCCACCUUUCAGCAUAGACUUAACUCCCUUAAGCCCAGACACCUGUUGGGACCUGACCUUCAAUAAUUGGCUACCGGUGUGUCAGGCAAUCUGGACUUUCCAGUGAUGCCACUGAGAUGGAACCCCUCGAAAAAGCAGUGGUUCCGUUUCUAGAUUGUGGAUCUUCAGAAAAAUUCUGUCAUUUUCAUUUCAUUUCCUGAAGGUCAGGGUCAACUCGUGAAACAUUGUUAAACAACAUGCUAAAUGUGAAACAUCAACCUCACUCUCAACUUUCCCUGUUUAGAGCAUCAGAUGAGGACUUCAUUUGGGUUUUACAGUGGCUUUCUGAUUUUGGGUAGUCCAUUGAAGAAGGGAGUUUGAAAGUCACUGCAUACUGUUAACGAUUGUCUGCCCAUGUCCUGCCUGAAAUGCCAUGAUUGUUUAUGGACAGUAUCUUUAAUACAGCUGGAUACAGUUUGGCUUGGGGAAAAAAAGAAAUAAUAUUUUAUAUAUGUUUGGUUAAAUGAAAUAUUUCAAUUCA
Molecule: non-coding RNA, 1492 nt
Organism: Macaca mulatta (Rhesus monkey)
Lineage: Eukaryota; Metazoa; Chordata; Mammalia; Primates; Cercopithecidae
Source: RefSeq, a predicted model, not a curated record